AGUGGCGAACGGGUGAGUAAUACAUCGGAACGUGUCCUGUAGUGGGGGAUAGCCCGGCGAAAGCCGGAUUAAUACCGCAUACGCUCUACGGAGGAAAGGGGGGGAUCUUAGGACCUCCCGCUACAGGGGCGGCCGAUGGCAGAUUAGCUAGUUGGUGGGGUAAAGGCCUACCAAGGCGACGAUCUGUAGCUGGUCUGAGAGGACGACCAGCCACACUGGGACUGAGACACGGCCCAGACUCCUACGGGAGGCAGCAGUGGGGAAUUUUGGACAAUGGGGGCAACCCUGAUCCAGCAAUGCCGCGUGUGUGAAGAAGGCCUUCGGGUUGUAAAGCACUUUUGUCCGGAAAGAAAACGCCGUGGUUAAUACCCGUGGCGGAUGACGGUACCGGAAGAAUAAGCACCGGCUAACUACGUGCCAGCAGCCGCGGUAAUACGUAGGGUGCAAGCGUUAAUCGGAAUUACUGGGCGUAAAGCGUGCGCAGGCGGUCCGCUAAGACAGAUGUGAAAUCCCCGGGCUUAACCUGGGAACUGCAUUUGUGACUGGCGGGCUAGAGUAUGGCAGAGGGGGGUAGAAUUCCACGUGUAGCAGUGAAAUGCGUAGAGAUGUGGAGGAAUACCGAUGGCGAAGGC
This 632-nucleotide ribosomal RNA is filed under the name uncultured beta proteobacterium. Its description in RNAcentral is "bacterial SSU rRNA". It matches the Rfam family "Bacterial small subunit ribosomal RNA", at positions 94 to 722 of the family's 1533-position model. Lineage: Bacteria; Pseudomonadati; Pseudomonadota; Betaproteobacteria. The record is from RNAcentral.